GUUUGAUUCUGGCUCAGAACGAACGCUGGCGGCGUGGAUAAGACAUGCAAGUCGAACGCUGAUUGCUGAAUAGCGAUAUUCUGCAGUCGGAGUGGCGCAAGGGUGCUUAACACGUGGGUAAUUUGCCAUGAAGCUGUGGAUAACUCCGAGAAAUCGGAGCUAAUACGGAAUGUGAUCAUUUGGGGACAUCCUCAAAUGGUUAAAGUUGGGGACUGCAAAGCCUGACACUUCAUGAUAAGCCCGCGGCCUAUCAGCUAGUUGGCGGGGUAACGGCCCACCAAGGCUAAGACGGGUAGCUGGUCUGAGAGGACGACCAGCCACACUGGAACUGAGACACGGUCCAGACACCUACGGGUGGCAGCAGUCGAGAAUUUUUCACAAUGGGCGCAAGCCUGAUGGAGCGACGCCGCGUGGGGGAUGAAUGGCUUCGGCCCGUAAACCCCUGUCAUUCGCGAGCAAAGCCACUUCGAUAAUACCGGAAUGGCUGAUCGUAGCGAAAGAGGAAGGGACGGCUAACUCUGUGCCAGCAGCCGCGGUAAUACAGAGGUCCCAAGCGUUGUUCGGAUUCACUGGGCGUAAAGGGUGCGUAGGUGGCAAGGUAAGUUCGGUGUGAAAUCUCUGGGCUUAACCCAGAAAUGGCAUUGGAUACUCUCUUGCUCGAGGUUUGGAGGGGGGACUGGAAUUCUCGGUGUAGCAGUGAAAUGCGUAGAUAUCGAGAGGAACACCCGUGGCGAAGGCGAGUCCCUGGACAACACCUGACACUGAGGCACGAAAGCUAGGGGAGCAAACAGGAUUAGAUACCCUGGUAGUCCUAGCCCUAAACGGUGCACAUUUGCUGUGGGCGGAUUCGACCCCGCCUGUGGCGGAGCUAACGCAAUAAAUGUGCCGCCUGGGAAGUACGGUCGCAAGAUUAAAACUCAAAGAAAUUGACGGGGGCCUGCACAAGCGGUGGAGUAUGUGGCUCAAUUCGAUCCAACGCGAAGAACCUUACCUGGCCUUGACAUGUGGGUGGUAGAAGGAUGAAAGUCUAACGAACCCGUAAGGGAAGCCUACACAGGUGCUGCAUGGCUGUCGUCAGCUCGUGUCGUGAGAUGUUGGGUUAAGUCCCGCAACGAGCGCAACCCUUGUGUCCUGUUGCUACCGGGGCGAAAGUCCCGGGCACUCUGGACAGACUGCCUCGCUUCAACGGGGAGGAAGGUGGGGAUGACGUCAAGUCAGUAUGGCCCUUACGGCCAGGGCUGCACACGUACUACAAUGCCCGGUACAAAGGGAUGCAAGAUCGUAAGAUGGAGCAAAUCCAGUAAAACCGGGCUCAGUUCAGAUUGUCGUCUGCAACUCGACGGCAUGAAGCUGGAAUCGCUAGUAAUGGCGCAUCAGCUACGGCGCCGUGAAUACGUUCCCAGGCCUUGUACACACCGCCCGUCACAUCAUGAAGCCGUUUGUACCCGAAGUCAUUAUGCCGACCGCAGGGAGGCCGAUGCCGAAGGUAUGGACGGUGAUUGGGAUGAAGUCGAACAAGGUA
RNAcentral lists this ribosomal RNA (1522 nucleotides) under metagenome. Its description in RNAcentral is "bacterial SSU rRNA". It matches the Rfam family "Bacterial small subunit ribosomal RNA". The record is from RNAcentral.